UAGUCCACGCCGUAAACGAUGAGUGCUAGAUUUCGGGAAUUUAUUCUCGGUUUCGCAGCUAACGCAUUAAGCACUCCGCCUGGAGACUACGAUCGCAAGAUUAAAACUCAAAGGAAUUGACGGGGGCUCGCACAAGUGGUGGAGCAUGCGGUUUAAUUCGAUGCUACGCGAAAAACCUUACCAACCCUUGACAUGGUGGUCGCGGAUUCAGAGAUGAAUCCUUCAGUUCGGCUGGACCACACACAGGUGUUGCACGGCUGUCGUCAGCUCGUGUCGUGAGAUGUUGGGUUAAGUCCCGCAACGAGCGAAACCCUCAUCCUUAUUUGCCAGCGGAUAACGCCGGGGACUAUAAGGAAACUGCCGGUGAUAAGCCGGAGGAAGGCGGGGACGACGUCAAGUCAUCAUGGCCCUUAUGGGUUGGGCUACACGCGUGCUACGAUGGUGCUUACAGAGGGAAGCUAUACGGCAACGUAAUGCAAAUCUCAAAAAGCAUCUCAGUUCGGAUUGUU
RNAcentral lists this ribosomal RNA (509 nucleotides) under uncultured bacterium. RNAcentral describes it as "bacterial SSU rRNA". It matches the Rfam family "Bacterial small subunit ribosomal RNA", at positions 791 to 1302 of the family's 1533-position model. The record is from RNAcentral.